This 200-nucleotide long non-coding RNA is filed under the name Musa acuminata (dwarf banana). Its description in RNAcentral is "long non-coding RNA (MACU_LNC003436)". Lineage: Eukaryota; Viridiplantae; Streptophyta; Magnoliopsida; Zingiberales; Musaceae. The record is from RNAcentral.
AUCAGUUUUUUCGUACGAAUAUCAUAUUUCAGUUUGCGCCUACUAUCUGAUUAGAAUCAUAACUGCAAACUGCAUUUAUAUCUUUGCUGCAUCUCGCUUAAACAAAAGUUAAAGUGAUUUACGAAUCGGCUUUCUUACCAAAAUCACUUUUAACGAACGAACGCAGUUUUUAUUUUAAUCGUAGAAGGUUUUCCGCUGCA